AUUCAUGAACAUAUCACAUGUUUCCAUGGUAGCAUGCGCACUUGAAGUUAGUUAAAACAAUUCUCGAUUCCAGUGGUGUCAGGGGAGUAAAUGAUGGAGACGGGAUGCAAACUAAAGCAGGAAAAAUACAUAAUGGUGCGAGGUCUAUGAGCAGGAGGGACAGCAUGCAAAAACAAACAAUUUAGGAGAUCCGUGGACAUAAACGACACAGGACACAAAAGAUCAGCUCAGUUAGUCCCUCUACGAAGCAGGUGAGUGCACGCAACAAUAUCAUGAUUGAGGUUUUUAGUUACUAGAACAAUAUAUUGACACUAGAAAAAGACUAUUAUUGUGAAAAUUACUGGCUGCAGACUCCUGAUGUGUUUUUAUCUGUAGUGGUUUAUCUGUACAGAAUAAAUGUUGUUUUUUAUGAAAUGGUCACUCAACUUGAUGUGGUUUGACAUAAAACACAGACAGCUGCUUCCUAACAUAGAGUAAUUCCUGUAAAAUUAUGUUUUUCUUCAUGUUUAAUUUUAUCAGCCUUGUAGCAUCACCUCAAAACAUAACCUUAUAUAUUCUAGUCAACAAUUCAAGACUUUAAAGAAAAUCACUGUUUCAUUUUGUCCUUUAUUCUCUUUUUCACACCGACUUCCUGCCCAGUUAUGUCACCAAACUCCUCAUCCUUCCUCAAUGCCUCCCUGCCCUCUACCUCCAUCUCUUCUAACAUGCCGUUAUCACCUAUUGUCUGCUUUGCCACCAC
Molecule: non-coding RNA, 739 nt
Organism: Xyrichtys novacula (pearly razorfish)
Lineage: Eukaryota; Metazoa; Chordata; Actinopteri; Labriformes; Labridae
Source: the annotation of a GenBank genome assembly